UNGGCAGCAGGCGGUAGUAUAAGGGGUUC
This 29-nucleotide non-coding RNA is filed under the name Homo sapiens (human). The record is from RNAcentral. Lineage: Eukaryota; Metazoa; Chordata; Mammalia; Primates; Hominidae.